CUAACCUAAUGUGCUCUACUUGUUGAACUGGAGUCUCCGUAUGUCUACGCUUCUCUUGUCCAAACCACCUCAAUAAUUCAACCAAUAAAAAAAAAUAUGCUAUGUUUUCUUCAGUUUUUUUCAUUCUCUGUAUGUUCCAACUUUCCGACUAAUGUUUUUAUCACAUUUUCUCUCAAAAUUUCACCUAAACUUCUAAUUCUUUUUACAAAUCUCUCCCUUA
RNAcentral lists this unclassified non-coding RNA (220 nucleotides) under Hevea brasiliensis (rubber tree). Lineage: Eukaryota; Viridiplantae; Streptophyta; Magnoliopsida; Malpighiales; Euphorbiaceae. The record is from RNAcentral.